GGCUCAGCUAGUGGUCAACUGUAAAAGUAUCUAUGUAGGCUCAGCUAGCGGUCAACUGUAAAAGUAUCUAUGUAGGCUCAGUUAGUGGGCAACUGUAAAAGUAUCUAUGUAGGCUCAGCUAGUGGUCAACUGUAAAAGUAUCUAUGUAGGCUCAGCUAGUGGUCAACUGUAAAAGUAUCUAUGUAGGCUCAGCUAUUGGUCAACUGUAAAAGUAUCUAUGUAGGCUCAGUUAGUGGACAACUGUAAAAGUAUCUAUGUAGGCUCAGCUAGUGGGCAACUGUAAAAGUAUCUAUGUAGGCUCAGCUAGUGGUCAACUGUAACAGUAUCCAUGUAGGCUCAGUUAGUGGACAACUGUAAAAGUGUCUAACAAAACUGUUUCAAGUUAUGAGUGGCACUCAGACCCCAAACAGACCAAAGAAAGCUCCCUCCUGUCCC
Oncorhynchus keta (chum salmon) is the source of this 435-nucleotide long non-coding RNA. RefSeq lists it as uncharacterized. Lineage: Eukaryota; Metazoa; Chordata; Actinopteri; Salmoniformes; Salmonidae. The record is from RefSeq and is a predicted model, not a curated record. The transcript has 3 exons.